Molecule: ribosomal RNA, 346 nt
Filed under: uncultured bacterium
Lineage: Bacteria
Description: partial 16S ribosomal RNA
Rfam family: Bacterial small subunit ribosomal RNA
Source: RNAcentral
GGGCGCAWKYYUGAUGCAGNCCMUGCCGCGUGUAUGAAGAAGGCCUUCGGGUUGUAAAGUACUUUCAGCGGGGAGGAAGGGAGUAAAGUUAAUACCUUUGCUCAUUGACGUUACCCGCAGAAGAAGCACCGGCUAACUCCGUGCCAGCAGCCGCGGUAAUACGGAGGGUGCAAGCGUUAAUCGGAAUUACUGGGCGUAAAGCGCACGCAGGCGGUUUKUUWAGUCAGAUGUGAAAUCCCCGGGCUCAACCUGGGAGCUGCAUCUGAUACUGGCAAGCUUGAGUCUCGUAGAGGGGGGUAGAAUUCCAGGUGUAGCGGUGAAAUGCGUAGAGAUCUGGAGGAAUACC